AGCUCAGUGAUACAGCACUUGCCUAGCAUGCAAGAAACCCUGGGUUCAAUCCCCAG
RNAcentral lists this transfer RNA (56 nucleotides) under Fukomys damarensis (Damara mole-rat). It matches the Rfam family "tRNA", at positions 9 to 63 of the family's 71-position model. From Rfam's summary of the family: Transfer RNA (tRNA) molecules are approximately 80 nucleotides in length. Their secondary structure includes four short double-helical elements and three loops (D, anti-codon, and T loops). Further hydrogen bonds mediate the characteristic L-shaped molecular structure. tRNAs have two regions of fundamental functional importance: the anti-codon, which is responsible for specific mRNA codon recognition, and the 3' end, to which the tRNAs corresponding amino acid is attached (by aminoacyl-tRNA synthetases). tRNAs cope with the degeneracy of the genetic code in two manners: having more than one tRNA (with a specific anti-codon) for a particular amino acid; and 'wobble' base-pairing, i.e. permitting non-standard base-pairing at the 3rd anti-codon position. The record is from Rfam by way of RNAcentral. Lineage: Eukaryota; Metazoa; Chordata; Mammalia; Rodentia; Bathyergidae.